This 152-nucleotide ribosomal RNA is filed under the name Heterorhabditis sp. CH3. Its description in RNAcentral is "5.8S ribosomal RNA". The record is from RNAcentral. Lineage: Eukaryota; Metazoa; Nematoda; Chromadorea; Rhabditida; Heterorhabditidae.
UAUAUUCCACUGACUAAUUAGCCUUUACUAGAACAGUUAAUGGGAAUAGAUUACCGAUAGUGGCGUGUGUCGUGAAGACAACUCAUAGGCUCCUGGCAUAGCAGAUCAGUGAUUCCCACUUCAGCCAACCAUUUAUGAUUGUUUUGGGGAAG